GAUGAACGCUGGCGGCGUGCCUAAUACAUGCCAGUCGAGCGAACAGACGAGGAGCUUGCUCCUCUGACGUUAGCGGCGGACGGGUGAGUAACACGUGGAUAACCUACCUAUAAGACUGGGAUAACUUCGGGAAACCGGAGCUAAUACCGGAUAAUAUAUUGAACCGCAUGGUUCAAUAGUGAAAGACGGUUUUGCUGUCACUUCUAGAUGGAUCCGCGCCGCAUUAGCUAGUUGGUAAGGUAACGGCUUACCAAGGCAACGAUGCGUAGCCGACCUGAGAGGGUGAUCGGCCACACUGGAACUGAGACACGGUCCAGACUCCUACGGGAGGCAGCAGUAGGGAAUCUUCCGCAAUGGGCGAAAGCUUGACGGAGCAACGCCGCGUGAGUGAUGAAGGUCUUCGGAUCGUAAAACUCUGUUAUUAGGGAAGAACAAAUGUGUAAGUAACUAUGCACGUCUUGACGGUACCUAAUCAGAAAGCCACGGCUAACUACGUG
RNAcentral lists this ribosomal RNA (497 nucleotides) under uncultured bacterium. Its description in RNAcentral is "partial 16S ribosomal RNA". It matches the Rfam family "Bacterial small subunit ribosomal RNA", at positions 28 to 507 of the family's 1533-position model. The record is from RNAcentral.